UGAGUAACACGUGGGUGAUCUGCCCUGCACUUUGGGAUAAGCCUGGGAAACUGGGUCUAAUACCGAAUAUGAUCAUGACCUGCAUGGGGUGUGGUGGAAAGCUUUUGCGGUGUGGGAUGGGCCCGCGGCCUAUCAGCUUGUUGGUGGGGUAAUGGCCUACCAAGGCGACGACGGGUAGCCGGCCUGAGAGGGUGACCGGCCACACUGGGACUGAGAUACGGCCCAGACUCCUACGGGAGGCAGCAGUGGGGAAUAUUGCACAAUGGGCGCAAGCCUGAUGCAGCGACGCCGCGUGAGGGAUGACGGCCUUCGGGUUGUAAACCUCUUUCAGUAGGGACGAAGCGCAAGUGACGGUACCUAUAGAAGAAGGACCGGCCAACUACGUGCCAGCAGCCGCGGUAAUACGUAGGGUCCGAGCGUUGUCCGGAAUUACUGGGCGUAAAGAGCUCGUAGGUGGUUUGUCG
RNAcentral lists this ribosomal RNA (464 nucleotides) under uncultured Mycobacterium sp. Its description in RNAcentral is "bacterial SSU rRNA". It matches the Rfam family "Bacterial small subunit ribosomal RNA", at positions 107 to 585 of the family's 1533-position model. The record is from RNAcentral. Lineage: Bacteria; Bacillati; Actinomycetota; Actinomycetes; Mycobacteriales; Mycobacteriaceae.